Molecule: long non-coding RNA, 1118 nt
Filed under: Phasianus colchicus (ring-necked pheasant)
Lineage: Eukaryota; Metazoa; Chordata; Aves; Galliformes; Phasianidae
Description: lncRNA (ENSPCLG00000013686.1)
Source: RNAcentral
GUGGGGCUGGAUUAUAGGGUUGGAGGGGGCGUUUGGGACUGAGUUAUGGGGCUGGGGGGUUUUGGGGCUGAGUUGUGGGGCUGGGGGGAAACUUGGGGAGCUGGGGGACUGACUGAUGGGGUCUCUGUGGGUCGCUAUGGGGUCUCUAUGGCCUCUCUGUGCCUCUCUAUGGUCUCCACGUAUCCCUAAGGCCCCUCUAUCGUCUCUCUAUGUCCUCUCUAUGGUCCCCACGUAUCCCUGUGGCCGCUCUAUGUCCGCUCUCUGGCCCUCCUACGCUCUCUAUGGUCUCCAUGUAUCCCUAUGGCCUCCCUAUGGCCACUCUAUGGUCUCUCCAUGCUCUCUAUGUCCUCUCUAUGGCCUCCAUGUAUCCCUAUGGUCUCUCUAUGGCACUCUAUGGGCACUCUAUGUCCUCUCUAUGGUCUCCAUGUAUUCUUAUGGCCUCUCUAUGGCCUCUCUAUGCUGUCUGUGUCCUCCUUAUGGCUCUCUAUGUCCUCUCUAUGGUCCCCACGUAUCCCUGUGGCCCCUCUAUGGCCCUUCUAUGGCCACUCCAUAUCCUCUCUAUGGUCCCCACGUAUCCCUAUGGCCGCUCUAUGUCCCCUCUCUGGCCCUCCUACGCUCUCUAUGGUCUCCGUGUAUCCCUAUGGCCUCCCUAUGGCCACUCUACGACCACUCUACGUCCUCUCUAUGGUCCCCACGUAUCCCUGUGGCCGCUCUAUGUCCGCUCUCUGGCCCUCCUACGCUCUCUAUGGUGUCUCUAUGGUCCCCACGUGACCCUGCGUGCUGUGCGCCGUGCCGCCCUUCAGGUUCAGCUCCCGCACGAACAGCACGGAUCUGUACCACGUGACCCGGCGCCAUUGGAGCUCCCUGCGCUUCCGGGACGGCGCUUCCGGAGCGGCGCCCCCUACCGGCUUCCACAGCGCCGAACGCAUCGGCCGCUACAUGGUGCUGUUCGGGGGCAGCGUCCACCAGCACUACCAGCAGGAGCGGUGCUACGGGGACGGGAUUUUCUUCUACCACCUGGGCUGCCACCAGUGGGUGCCCGGCCCCACGCUGACACCCGGAGCUGAUUUCCCCCCUAAUUCCCCCUGUUUCCCCCAAUUUGGGGCUGAUUCCCCCCC